RNAcentral lists this ribosomal RNA (1949 nucleotides) under human gut metagenome. RNAcentral's name for it is "bacterial LSU rRNA". It matches the Rfam family "Bacterial large subunit ribosomal RNA", at positions 1 to 1977 of the family's 2925-position model. The record is from RNAcentral.
UUAAGCGACUAAGCGUACACGGUGGAUGCCCUGGCAGUCAGAGGCGAUGAAGGACGUGCUAAUCUGCGAAAAGCGCCGGCGAGGUGAUAUGAACCUUUGACCCGGCGAUGUCCGAAUGGGGAAACCCAGUGUGUUCCGACACACUAUCGUUAACUGAAUACAUAGGUUAACGAGGCGAACCGGGGGAACUGAAACAUCUAAGUACCCCGAGGAAAAGAAAUCAACCGAGAUUCCCCCAGUAGCGGCGAGCGAACGGGGAGCAGCCCAGAGUCUGAAUCAGCUUGUGUGUUAGUGGAAGCGUCUGGAAAGUCGCACGGUACAGGGUGACAGUCCCGUACACGAAAGCACACAGGUUGUGAACUCGAAGAGUAGGGCGGGACACGUGGUAUCCUGUCUGAAUAUGGGGGGACCAUCCUCCAAGGCUAAAUACUCCUGACUGACCGAUAGUGAACCAGUACCGUGAGGGAAAGGCGAAAAGAACCCCGGCGAGGGGAGUGAAAAAGAACCUGAAACCGUGUACGUACAAGCAGUGGGAGCACCUUCGGGUGUGACUGCGUACCUUUUGUAUAAUGGGUCAGCGACUUAUAUUCUGUAGCAAGGUUAACCGUAUAGGGGAGCCGAAGGGAAACCGAGUCUUAACUGGGCGUUAAGUUGCAGGGUAUAGACCCGAAACCCGGUGAUCUAGCCAUGGGCAGGUUGAAGGUUGGGUAACACUAACUGGAGGACCGAACCGACUAAUGUUGAAAAAUUAGCGGAUGACUUGUGGCUGGGGGUGAAAGGCCAAUCAAACCGGGAGAUAGCUGGUUCUCCCCGAAAGCUAUUUAGGUAGCGCCUCGUGAACUCAUCUUCGGGGGUAGAGCACUGUUUCGGCUAGGGGGCCAUCCCGGCUUACCAACCCGAUGCAAACUACGAAUACCGAAGAAUGUUAUCACGGGAGACACACGGCGGGUGCUAACGUCCGUCGUGAAGAGGGAAACAACCCAGACCGCCAGCUAAGGUCCCAAAGUCAUGGUUAAGUGGGAAACGAUGUGGGAAGGCACAGACAGCCAGGAUGUUGGCUUAGAAGCAGCCAUCAUUUAAAGAAAGCGUAAUAGCUCACUGGUCGAGUCGGCCUGCGCGGAAGAUGUAACGGGGCUAAACCAUGCACCGAAGCUGCGGCAGCGACACUAUGUGUUGUUGGGUAGGGGAGCGUUCUGUAAGCCGUUGAAGGUGGCCUGUGAGGGUUGCUGGAGGUAUCAGAAGUGCGAAUGCUGACAUAAGUAACGAUAAAGCGGGUGAAAAGCCCGCUCGCCGGAAGACCAAGGGUUCCUGUCCAACGUUAAUCGGGGCAGGGUGAGUCGACCCCUAAGGCGAGGCCGAAAGGCGUAGUCGAUGGGAAACAGGUUAAUAUUCCUGUACUUGGUGUUACUGCGAAGGGGGGACGGAGAAGGCUAUGUUAGCCGGGCGACGGUUGUCCCGGUUUAAGCAUGUAGGCGGAACGAUUAGGUAAAUCCGGUCGUUUUUUAACGCUGAGGUGUGAUGACGAGGCACUACGGUGCUGAAGUAACAAAUGCCCUGCUUCCAGGAAAAGCCUCUAAGCAUCAGGUAACAUCAAAUCGUACCCCAAACCGACACAGGUGGUCAGGUAGAGAAUACCAAGGCGCUUGAGAGAACUCGGGUGAAGGAACUAGGCAAAAUGGUGCCGUAACUUCGGGAGAAGGCACGCUGAUAUGUAGGUGAAGCCCCUGCGGGUGGAGCUGAAAUCAGUCGAAGAUACCAGCUGGCUGCAACUGUUUAUUAAAAACACAGCACUGUGCAAACACGAAAGUGGACGUAUACGGUGUGACGCCUGCCCGGUGCCGGAAGGUUAAUUGAUGGGGUUAGCGGCAACGCGAAGCUCUUGAUCGAAGCCCCGGUAAACGGCGGCCGUAACUAUAACGGUCCUAAGGUAGCGAAAUUCCUUGUCGGGU